Molecule: long non-coding RNA, 1104 nt
Filed under: Oryctolagus cuniculus (rabbit)
Lineage: Eukaryota; Metazoa; Chordata; Mammalia; Lagomorpha; Leporidae
Description: lncRNA (ENSOCUG00000039049.1)
Source: RNAcentral
AUGGUUUUGUCCCUCUGCCCAAGUCCAGCUCUCUCCUGCAGAGUUCCCUCACUCCUUCUGGGAGGGGUGAGGAGGUCUCCAUCCCUUCAGACACGAGGGUGGGCCUCACUCCAGGAACCUCCACACCAGAAUUGCCCAAGUCUCCCUGUCCACGUGCCCCGCCCACCCGCCCACGGCCCCGUGGCCAGCACAGGAGGAACUGGGCGCCCCUCACUCCCCCUGGCCCAGUCUCAUUGCUCAGGGACAGAGGUGAUACAAGGACAAGGGACUGGGACACAAACGAGGGUAGCAGGAAAGCAGCGCAGGGCGCGCCCCUGGACAGGGCAGCUGGGACACAGGCCCAGUGGAGGGACGAGCGAGCAGGGCCCUCAGCUGGGAUCAGGUGCACACCAGGCCGUGGGUGCCAAAAUGCACUUUCUGCAGUGUUCCCACGCAGGGCUCCAGGGCUCCGAGUCCUGCCUUUCCAACUUCCUGGGGGUGCUGGCCCCUGGGACUGUCCUGGGGGACCCCCACGGAGUCCCUUCUCACGUUCCCUCCCCUGACCCCUCCGCAGCCACAUGCUGCUCCCCCGUGGGGUUCUCAUCUCUGUGGAGAGCACACACCAAGCACACAGCGACCUCAGGAGCUAACAUUGUAAGAAAGGGAAGCUUCAGUAUUUCACCAGCAUCAGAAAAACAGAAACAAAGCACACAAAGAAGGCUAAAAGAAAAACAGGUAAGACAGAACCAAAAAAGGCUACAGGGACCGGCGCAGAGAGGGCUCCGUCAGAGAACAGUCCCUACGCAGCCGCGGCACAGGCGGGAGGCGGGGCCCCGAGGAGUCCGUGGCCGACUGUUGGACGCGGGGCUGGCCGGCUGCAGACCCGGAGCUCUGACCCAGCCCACGUCCAGCAGCUUUGGGAAACUUCCAGAAGCUGUCAAAGCCGUGAGCCGAGAAGGCACUUGUCCCGAGAUGCCACUGCAGGGCAGUCACACCUCGCGGAAGGUAAGUAUUGCAAUGGAAGGGCAGGGCUGCCCCCUGCAGACAGUCCUGGCGGGCAGCACUCCCAGCCUCUGCCUCUGCUCCAACUCCCGGGGUGUGCUGGCCCGGGCCCACGCUCCUUAG